AUUGAACGCUGGCGGCAGGCUUAACACAUGCAAGUCGAGCGGGGUGAUGGUGCUUGCACUAUCACUUAGCGGCGGACGGGUGAGUAAUGCUUAGGAAUCUGCCUAUUAGUGGGAGACAACAUCUCGAAAGGGAUGCUAAUACCGCAUACGUCCUACGGGAGAAAGCAGGGGAUCACUUGUGACCUUGCGCUAAUAGAUGAGCCUAAGUCGGAUUAGCUAGUUGGUGGGGUAAAGGCCUACCAAGGCGACGAUCUGUAGCGGGUCUGAGAGGAUGAUCCGCCACACUGGGACUGAGACACGGCCCAGACCCCUACGGGAGGCAGCAGUGGGGAAUAUUGGACAAUGGGGGGAACCCUGAUCCAGCCAUGCCGCGUGUGUGAAGGAGGCCUUAUGGUUGUAAAGCACUUUAAGCGAGGAGGAGGCUCUUUUGGUUAAUACCCAAGAUGAGUGGACGUUACUCGCAGAAUAAGCACCGGCUAACUCUGUGCCAGCCGCCGCAGUAA
This 503-nucleotide ribosomal RNA is filed under the name uncultured bacterium. RNAcentral describes it as "partial 16S ribosomal RNA". It matches the Rfam family "Bacterial small subunit ribosomal RNA", at positions 30 to 523 of the family's 1533-position model. The record is from RNAcentral.